RNAcentral lists this small nuclear RNA (102 nucleotides) under Sus scrofa (pig). Lineage: Eukaryota; Metazoa; Chordata; Mammalia; Artiodactyla; Suidae. The record is from RNAcentral.
GAACUUCAGCAGCAAAUAUCUUAAAGUUGGAACAAUACAGAGAAGAUUAACAUUCUCUCUGAGCUCGGAUGAUAGUGCAAAUCUGAAAUGUUUGAUUUUUAA